This 375-nucleotide ribosomal RNA is filed under the name uncultured bacterium. RNAcentral's name for it is "partial 16S ribosomal RNA". It matches the Rfam family "Bacterial small subunit ribosomal RNA", at positions 338 to 710 of the family's 1533-position model. The record is from RNAcentral.
CCUACGGGAGGCAGCAGUGAGGAAUAUUGGUCAAUGGGCGCGAGCCUGAACCAGCCAAGUAGCGUGAAGGAUGACUGCCCUACGGGUUGUAAACUUCUUUUAUAAAGGAAUAAAGUGAGGCACGUGUGCCUUUUUGUAUGUACUUUAUGUAUAAGGAUCGGCUAACUCCGUGCCAGCAGCCGCGGUCAUACGGAGGAAGCGAGCGUGAUCAGGAUUUAUUGGGUUUAAAGGGAGCGUAGAUGGGUUGUUAAGUCAGUUGUGAAAGUUUGCGGCUCAACCGUAAAAUUGCAAUUGAUACUAGCAGUCGAGAGUACAGUUGAGGUAGGCGGAAUGCGUGGGGUAGCGGGGAAAUGCGUAGAUAUCACGAAGAACUCC